CGGGGGGAGCAAGUCGUUGUUCGGAUUUACUGGGCGUAAAGGGCGCGUAGGCGGCCACCGCAAGUCGACUGUGAAAUCUCCGGGCUUAACCCGGAAAGGUCAGCCGAUACUGCGGGGCUAGAGUGCAGAAGGGGCAACUGGAAUUCUCGGUGUAGCGGUGAAAUGCGUAGAUAUCGAGAGGAACACCUGCGGCGAAGGCGGGUUGCUGGGCUGACACUGACGCUGAGGCGCGAAAGCUAGGGGAGCGAACGGGAUUAGAUACCCCGGUAGUCCUAGCCUUAAACGAUGAAUGCUUGGUGUCUGGGGUUUUAUAGUCCCCGGGUGCCGUCGCUAACGCUUUAAGCAUUCCGCCUGGGGAGUACGGUCGCAAGACUG
RNAcentral lists this ribosomal RNA (375 nucleotides) under uncultured organism. RNAcentral describes it as "bacterial SSU rRNA". It matches the Rfam family "Bacterial small subunit ribosomal RNA", at positions 526 to 896 of the family's 1533-position model. The record is from RNAcentral.